GUUUUUGUGUAGCUGCCUGUGAGCAGCCCAGAACGUCACGGUUCAUUUUUGUCUGUAUUGUUUUUGGCAAAAGAAGCAGAACAGAAGCCCAUCCCGCCUCCAGAGCCAGUCCUGCCUAGCAGCAUGGACAUUGGUUCAAUGUCCAUGGCUGUGGCCAAGAUUGGGGCUCUACUGCAAUUACAUCACAGUUCUGAGGUACAAACAGGUGAGGUAAUAAUUGGAACGACGUGUGGUGAGCCCUGCAGUGACAACUCGCUCUCAGAUGUGGUCGUAGGCCUGGGAGUUGUGUAUGUCAAACUGGGAGGUCUGAGUCGUGGAGAGCGGCUGACUAAAUACAACCGUCUGAUUUCUAUAGAGGAAGAAUUGGCCCAGCAGGGAAUACUGGGUAUGGCUUUUUCCUCUCGCCUUUUCAGCCAGUAGAAAGAGGGGGCUAGACAAAGCUAUGGGUAGGAGAGGCAGUAAUGGCUGGGAUGGUGAGAAUACAUUUCUCCCUGGACGUGAAAGGAAACUGUGUGUCAGGAAUCAUGAAGAGGGGGGAAAAGGAGCUGGCGAAAACCCUACCUUGGUUCUGUUAAUUGGCCACCUAAUUACGCCUCCCAAAAAAGGGACAGGGAUAUUGGGCAAUUACUGAAAAGCGAGUUCAUCUUUGUAUAAAAUAAAGAAUUAACUUCUGC
Oncorhynchus tshawytscha (Chinook salmon) is the source of this 674-nucleotide long non-coding RNA. The record is from Ensembl. Lineage: Eukaryota; Metazoa; Chordata; Actinopteri; Salmoniformes; Salmonidae.